CACUAUAGUGCAUUAGUAAAUCACCAUAACUCCCCAGAUCAAAGCCAAUAAGCAUAGGUCUAUUUCUUUUUGAAUUUUUAUUUCAAGAUAUCAGUCCCCUGCCCAUUCCAAAGGUCUAUUUGAACACAAUUUCAGCUCUUUUUUUCUUUCCCGAAUAACACCUGUAAAACCAUUUAUGUUCUUCCUCACCACAGGAAAAGUAAAUCCCUUCUUAUAUAUAAAUACAUAUAACAAUCUGUUUCAAAAACCCUUAUUGCAUACAGCCUCCACACAAGCAAACUUUUUUCUCCAUUUCUCUGAGUUUUUUUUCUUCUUUCUGUUUUCUCUGUGGCUAAAGUUGACCUACUGCAUAGAACAAGACCUGUCACCUUCUGACUCACCCUCUCCCCCAAAGACACUGAAGAGCCUUGAGGAAAUUCAUGAAGCAUCAUUAAGCACUGAGUUAAAACUCUCAAAGGAAAAAAAAUGUGUUUCAUUAUAAUCAAGUCAGAAAAUAGAUUUGUCCUCCAUUCUUUCUGUAAUGGCAAACACCUGCGCUAUCUUAGACUAGUCGCUAGACUCAGUGACGUGUGUGUUCAUCCAAGGUGCUUAUUUUGACUAUGAAGUGACAAUGAACACCACACCACUUAAGCCUGGUCUGGAUGACUUGCUCCCUUUAAAUCACUGUUCAGACACUCCUCACCCCCAACUUCAGUCUUUGCCCUAUACCCACCCUCCUUGUCUAGUUUUAGAAACAGCUAUCAGUUACUUCUUCACUGGAUCCAACUUAGGCAUUCUUAUAUAUGGUUUCUAUGGCACUGGUCCUCCAACGUAAAUGUACAUAUGAAUGAUCUGGGUAUUUUGUUAAAAUUUUGAUUCUAUGUCAGCAGAUCUAGAGUGAGGGCCAAAAAUUUUCAUUCCUGACAAACUCCUAGGUGGGGUGAGGGCUACUGAUCCGAGAUCACACUUGGGUUUAAAAUGUUCUAUUGUAACCCUUUAUAGGGUUUUUGUUUCCAAACAUGAGCUCUAGAGGAUACAUUUUACAUAGUUACUUAUGCAUCAUUUCUGCCACAUAAAUGGCCAAAUCAGUCCAACAGAGAAUAGUGGUUGAAUACCUACUUCAAAGUCCUUAGUCAAACAUCUUCAUGUUAGCUUGGUCAAUGUUUUCUAAAGCAUUUGUCAUUUCAAAAUCCAAAAGACUUCUGUCCAAGUCUUUCAAACGCCGUCAGUAGCCCAUCAGUCAUUAAUAUUCUUCUCUCUCCUUAUCACCUCAUCCCCAAGUUAUAUUAAUAUAAGAUUUAACAUUUAAUUCUCUGCAGAUGGGGUUCAGGGCCAAAGAGGCUUUCCAGUGUCCUCAAAUGUAUUUAUUUAUUUACUCAACAAAUAUUUACUGAGCACAUACUGUGUGUCAGGCACUGUCUUACGCAAUGUCUACAGAUAACCACCAAACACAGACAAGCAAAGUUCCUGAUGUUAUGGAGUUCCCAUUUCAUAUGGGUAUGUGAUAAACAAUAAAAACAUAAAAAUAUGAAUCAUUUCAGAUAGCCAUAAGCAAAUGACUAAAGUGAAACAACAUAAUAGGAUAGAGCUUGACUGAAACGUACUAGCUCAGAAAGGAUGAUUAGGAAAAACCUUUCUGCGGUGAUCUCAUUAGAGCCGAGAUGUAAAUGAUGAGAAGUCAACCAUGGGAAGAUCUGAAAGAGCAUUCUAUUGAUCUAAUUUCCAUGAUUUAUUCUGUAGACCGUGUCCCUCCAAGUAGUAGUUGCGUGUGCAGUUUUCCGUGGGUCUCAUUGAGUGUGUGUGAAAAGGCCAAUUUCCAAAUCUAGUUGGUGUUCAAUUAUCUCUUCUCAAGCCUACAUUUUUAGCGCUUUACAAGAAAAGAUUGAUGUAGGCUGCCUGCCCGAGGAUUGCCUUGUCAAGGAUAAAGGGCAGAGUGUAGCUGCAGAUUUCCAUAAUCCAGGAGCAAACUCAACAUACAAUAUUUAAGCCUAUCAUGAAUUCUUGGAAGGGAGGAAAAACUCUCUUUGAUAAGCACUUGUUGAGCACUUGUUAUUCAAGAAAAAAAUAUGUUUUUUUGAUAAAACAAAAUGUGGAUAUGUAGAGAUAAAUACGAUAUGGAUUCUGUUUCAAAGAGCUUACAGAUAAACUAAAAAAUUUUUAAAAAGUGAGAAACUAGAAGCAUAAAGUGAUGGGAACAAUUCUUUUGAAGAAAAGGUGAUUAAUUUCCACCAGGAGAAUAUGUAAAUGCUCCAAUGAGAAGUUAGGAUGUGACCUAAGUCUUGAAAUAUGAAACAUGAGACAUCAUAUCAAUAGAUAGUAUUAAAGGUCAUAGAACUAAAUGAUAUCAGUUAGGGAGUAAGUGGAGGGAAUAAAAAAAAAAAGCCUAAGGAUUGAACCCCCUGCACAAUGGCGUUAACGGCCUUGAAGAUGAGGAGGCACGAUAAACGGAGAUUUCAACCAUGUCAAAUGAUGCAUAGAUCCAGUAAGAUGAGCAGUGAAAACUGACCUUUGGAUUUAGGUAUUUGGAAGUAACUGGUGACCUCAAAAAGAUGUAUUUCAAUGGAGAGUAGAAAAGAACGAUUUAUUGAAAUGGACUCAAGAGAAAAAUGCAAGAAGAACUGAAAAUUGACAUUACAGAUCAGUGCUUCUCAAACUUUAAUGUCAUUUUGAAUCUUGGAGAUCCUCUAAAAUGUAGUUUCUGAUUCAAUAGGUCCAGAGCGAGACCUGAGAGUUUGUAUUUCUACCAAGCUCCUAGGUGAUGGUGAUACUGUUGGCUGAUCAUGAUUUGAGUAGCAAAAGAAGAGAAUCUUUCAGGAGUUUUCUAUAAAAGGAAGCAAUGAAAUGGGGUGGGUGAGCAAAGUAACUGGAGAGGAUGUAGGGUCAAGAGAAUUAUUUUUAGUAUUCUCAUUAUCACAGCAAGAGUGCUUGAAUACCAAUGGGAAUGAUCCAAAGUUGAGAGAAAAAUAAUGGAAGAUGGAGGAGAGAGGGGAUCAUUGUUUGAACAAUGUCCUUGAGUAGUCAAGGGAAAACGGCAUCCAGUGAUAAACGAAGGGGAAGCCCUGGAUGGAAGCACAGAUAGUUCAGCCACAUUACCAAGGUGGGAUGCAAAAUUCCUUGGUAUACAUGCAUAUGAGUUGGAUGGUUGAAUGCACAGAGGUUCUCUUCCAAUUGUUUUUAUUUCUCAGUGUAACAAGAUGCUUAGCUGAUAGGACUGGGGAAAAGAUGAUAGAGGUUUGAGGAAAGAGAGGACAGUAUGAAAUAAUCUGAGAUUGGGGAGGGAAGAAUGAAUAGGUGUAGCACAGAAGAUUUUUAGGAUAGAGAAAUGACCCUAUAUGAUACUGUAACAGUGGAUGCAUGUCAGUACACAUUUGUUCAAACCCAUAAGAAUGUACAACAUCAAGAAUGAACCCUAACGUAAACUAUGGACCUUGGGUGAUAAUGAUGUGUCAAUGUAGGUUCAUUAGUUAUAACGAGUGAAUCACUCUGGUGAGGGAUGUUGAUAAUGGGGGUGGCUAUGCAUGAGUUGGGGCAGGGGGUAUAUGGAAAAUCUCUGUACCUUCUCUCAAUUUUGCUGUGGACCUAAAACUGCUCAAAAAAAUAAAGUUUAUUAAAUAAUUAAAUAAUCCAUGAGGAGGUAAACUGACUAGGGCAGUUGUUCUCAACCCUAUCAGAUCCAAUGACCCCUUUUAUAAUACAUAUUUUUAAUACCUUUGCUACUAUUGUAAAAAUAAUGAUUAAUUUAACCUACCUACACACAUAUUUUCUGAAUCAAUAUAAUGCCCUCAUCAUAAUAUAAAUAAAUAAAUAAAAGGAAAUCGAUUCAUGAUAAAAUAACAUGUGUUUCCAUAUGUGAAUGCUCAGGCAUGAGUAUACAAGGCUAGGAGACCAAAAACUUCACAAAAAUACCUGAUGCCCUCUAGGGGGCGAUACUACCCUUGGUGAGAAUCAUUAUAUUGCUUGGCAUGACUAAAUGUCCACUCGAAGUUAGUAAUUAGGAUUUCACGGAAACUCAAUAACGCGUUGUGCGUUUUGUUCAGAGCAGGCCGAGUUGCAUUUAACCAGGGUGGCAGCUUUACCGGAGGAGAAAAUGGCCUGAGAAGGGAGUAAGGAAGUUUAAGGUCCAGAUCCACAAUGUCUUUCUGCAAUUUCAUAAUCCAAAAGAGAAUGGAAAAGAAACAGUUGGGGUUUUUUCAUAAGGUGGUUCACAACUCUUUUGGCAGCAAAAUUCAACCUAAACAGACACAAAGCUAUUUAGAGCCUGUAUGAAUCCCUCUUACUUGGGAACAAUCAUCAGUUUCACUACAGAAGAUAUUAUACAACAUGGUAUAGGAACUGUACUAUCUUUUUAAGAUUUAAAAAAAAAAUCUGAACUUGGAAAUACAUCAGACCUCAGGAGGUUGGGAUGAAGGAUUAUGACCUGUAUACAUAAGGGAAUUAGUCAAAUAAUGGGCCAUGUCAUCCAAGAUUGACCAGAUAAGAAGAAAGGGCAAGAGCAGUUAAGGGACAAUGAAGAGAAGGAGAGUCACUGGAUGGCAGAUUGUUGGGUUAGAAGAACUGAAAGUGAUCCAGGAAGAUUGGAAGGGACAGCCAAGGAGUGAGAUAGAUACUUAUUAACUGAGAAUAUGAAUCCAGGGCAGUCACAGGUAAUGAUGAGUUUGGACAAUGAGGUGCCUGAGGUGAAGAGGAAGCUUCCACGUGGAUAUUGAAAUCACUAAGAUGAAUGCAUCAAGGAGCAAUGGUGGUUAAUAUAGUCUGAUAUCUUUUUUUUUUCAGGUGAGGACCAUUGUCCCUGAGCUAACAUUUGUGGCAAUCUUCCUCUAUUUUGUGUGUAGGACAUUGCCACAGCAUGACCUGAUGAGCAGUGUGUAGGUCUGGGCCCAGGAUCCGAACCCAGGAUCUGCCCGUGAGCCCUGGGCCACGAAGCAGAGCACAGGAACUUAACCACUAUGCCACCAGGCUUGGCCCUAAUCUGCUAUCUUGAGGUUCAAAAGAGCUGGUUGGUGUGACAUAUAGGAAGACAGGAAGGUGUAGAGGGAGCAAUGAGAAAAAAGGAGAACACUCACUCCAUGGUGUGGGGUGACAGGUGUGAAGAGAAAACAGCCUCAAAGUGAGAGGGCUUCAGGAGAAGCCAGGUCCUGCGGUUUGUUAGGGCUAGAAGAUGAAUAGGUUGAGGAUACAAAAUAUUUUGCUGAUAAUGGUCAUCAGCAUCUAAGAACACAGAGGAGGAUUCGGGCGAUUCAGGAAGGGUGUCAUAUUGGUAUAGCAUUGUAUAAAUUUCAGGUAUACAUUAUUAUAUAUCAGUUUCUGUAUAGACAGCAUCGUGUUCCCCAUCGAUAGUCUAGUUUUUCAUCUGUCGCCAUACAUAUGCGCCCCUUUACCUCUUUCGCCCUCCCCCCACCCAUUCCCCUCUAGCAACCACUAAUCUGUUCUCCUUAUCUAUGUGUUUGUUUAUCUUCCACAUAUAGUCCAUUCUUAAGAGGAAGAAAGGAUUUUAUGAAACUCCCAAAUAAGAAUAUUCACGAAUCAUUGUCAAAGUCCAAGGAGAAUCUACGGUCUAAAAAAUUGCCUUUAGGUCCCAUGCUUAGGCCCAGUGCUGAAUUCUCAUAGAGACAAUGAAAUAUGAUGAUAUUUAUGCAGUUACAGCUUUCAUCUAAAGAGUAUAAAGAGUGUUGAAAAUGUAUGACCGGAUGAUGACAAAUCUCAUUCUUGUCAGUGUGAAGUACAAAACAGCCACAAUUCACAUUUAAAAAAACACAGAGUCCGCCUUCACUCAUUUCACCCACACCCUACCCCAACCUCUGGGUGAAAGGGGUCAAAAGGUCCAAAGUUCCAGUUGUAAAAUAAAUAAGUCCUGGAGACACAGUGUACACCAUGGUGACUCCAGUUAAUACCGCGCUGUAUAUGUGAAUUUUGCUAAGAGAGUAAAUCUUAAGAGUUCUCAUCACACACGCAAAAAACUUUUAACUAUGUGUGGUGCCGGAUGUUAACCAGACUUACUGUGCUGAUCAUUUCGCAAUAUAUACAUCUAUCAAAUCAUUAUGUGUGCACUUGAAGCUAAUAUAAUGUUCUAUGUUAAUUAUAUCAAAAAAAAUGCAAGGUUAAAAUGUCUCUUCGUAUGCCACCUUGAAAAAUAUGUGCUACCAAGACAUCAAAUUCCAAGGGGAAACUUACAUAUGAUUGAUUGGCUUUUUUUGUAGGGAAACUGCAAAAACGUAUUUUAAAAGCUCUUUAAACAACUGACUGAACUUGGAAAAAUUAAAUUUACCUUUAAAUUUUGUGUUAGGAUCUAAACUCUGGCCCAUAAACUAAUACUUGGGCUGCUUUGAGUAAGGCAUUUAUCAUUACCGACUUCCCAUUUUCUUAUAUAAAAUGGGUAAUAACAAGUCAAAAGGUUGCUAUCAAGAUCAAAUAAAUAUGUAAAAAGCAUUAUAAAUUACAGAAAAUAAUAAUGCAAGAGACUUUCUAUGAAGGAUAUAGCCACGGAGUUUGUAAAAUACCACAAUAUAAUGUAAAAUGCUACAUCUCAAAGAGUUAAGCAUGCUCAAGUUCAAAUCUGAGUUUAGCUACUUACCAGCGCAUAAACUUCCUUUGUGUCUCAGAGUUAUCAUUUCAAAACACAAAUAACAUGAUAAUAAUAAUCACUUUACACAUUGAAUUUCAAGAUAGAAUGAGAUGGUGCAUGCAAAGCAUUCAAUUAAUAUGAGCUAAAUCAGAUAGAGACAUUGCAGCUCCAACAAUGAAACUACUACGGUUUACAAGUUUAAGGUUAAUACGCAUUUAUAUAGGACGCAUGCUUUCUUGUAAUAUUCCAUUCCCAUCGCUCUCGGAAUGAGGAUCUAACGUCUUACCAUGACCUACAGGGCCCGGCGUCUGGCGCUGCACAUUCCCUCUUGCUCUCAUCUUUCUUUCACAGUGAUUCAAAUGCUCCGCUGUCAAGGAGAUUCUG
Equus caballus (horse) is the source of this 6925-nucleotide long non-coding RNA. The record is from Ensembl. NCBI's taxonomy places the organism in Eukaryota, Metazoa, Chordata, Mammalia, Perissodactyla, Equidae.